AUUGAACGCUGGCGGCAUGCUUUACACAUGCAAGUCGAACGGUAACAGGCCGCAAGGUGCUGACGAGUGGCGAACGGGUGAGUAAUGCAUCGGAACGUGCCCAGUCGUGGGGGAUAACUACUCGAAAGAGUAGCUAAUACCGCAUACGAUCUAUGGACGAAAGCGGGGGACCGUAAUGCCUCGCGCGAUUGGAGCGGCCGAUGUUAGAUUAGGUAGAUGGUGGGGUAAAGGCUCACCAAGCCAACGAUCUGUAGCCGGUCUGAGAGGAAGACCAGCCACAUUAGGACUGGGACACUGCCCCUACUCCUACGAGAGGCAGCAGUGGGGAAUUUGCGACAAUGGGCGCAAGCCUGAUCCAGCAAUGCCGCGUGCAGGAAGAAGGCCUUCGGGUUGUAAACUGCUUUUGUCCGGAACGAAACGGCUCUGGUUAAUACCCGGGGCUAAUGACGGUACCGUAAAAAUAAGCACCGGCUAACUACGUG
Molecule: ribosomal RNA, 482 nt
Filed under: uncultured bacterium
Lineage: Bacteria
Description: partial 16S ribosomal RNA
Rfam family: Bacterial small subunit ribosomal RNA
Source: RNAcentral